AUGGAUAUUAGAGCUAGCAAAUAUGCCCAUAAGUUGUUUAGUAUCCAGCAGAAUGCCUUUAUUAAAGGGAGGCAUAUUGUGGAUGGUAUACUAUCUUUGCAUGAGAUUAUGCACUAUAAUCAUGUCAAAAAACAAGUCAGAGUAGUUCUCCAGCUCGAUUUCGAGAAGGCUUAUGACAAAGUAAACUGGGAUUUUUUGCUUGAUUGUCAUGAAAAGCGCGGGUUUAAUCCCAAGUGGUGUGGAUGGGUCUCUUAG
RNAcentral lists this ribosomal RNA (255 nucleotides) under Triticum aestivum (bread wheat). Its description in RNAcentral is "partial small subunit ribosomal RNA". The record is from RNAcentral. Lineage: Eukaryota; Viridiplantae; Streptophyta; Magnoliopsida; Poales; Poaceae.